GCCAUGCCGCGUGUGUGAAGAAGGCCUUCGGGUUGUAAAGCACUUUCAGUCAGGAGGAAAGGUUAGUAGUUAAUACCUGCUAGCUGUGACGUUACUGACAGAAGAAGCACCGGCUAACUCCGUGCCAGCAGCCGCGGUAAUACGGAGGGUGCGAGCGUUAAUCGGAAUUACUAGGCGUAAAGCGUACGCAGGCGGUUUGUUAAGCGAGAUGUGAAAGCCCCGGGCUCAACCUGGGAAUUGCAUUUUGAACUGGCAUGCUAGAGUCCUGAAGAGGGUGGUAGAAUUUCCAGUGUAGCGGUGAAAUGCGUAGAUAUUGGAANGNGAAUACCGGUGGCGAAGGCGGCCACCUGGUCAGAGACUGACGCUGAGGUACGAAAGCGUGGGGAGCAAACGGGAUUAGAUACCCUGGUAGUCCACGCCGUAAACGAUGUCAACUAGUUGUUCGUGUCAUUAAGACGUGAGUAACGCAGCUAACGCACUAAGUUGACCGCCUGGGGANGUACGNGCCNGCNAAGGUUAAAACUCAAAUGAAUUGACGGGGGCCCGCACAAGCGGUGGAGCAUGUGGUUUAAUUCGAUGCAACGCGAAGAACCUUACCAUCCCUUGACAUCCAGUGAAUUUUUCAGAGAUGAAUUAGUGCCUUCGGGAACACUGAGACAGGUGCUGCAUGGCUGUCGUCAGCUCGUGUUGUGAGAUGUUGGGUUAAGUCCCGCAACGAGCGCAACCCUUAUCCUUAGUUGCCAGCACGUAAAGGUGGGAACUCUGGGGAGACUGCCGGUGAUAAACCGGAGGAAGGUGGGGACGACGUCAAGUCAUCAUGGCCCUUACGGGAUGGGCUACACACGUGCUACAAUGGCGCAUACAAAGGGCAGCAAGCCAGCGAUGGUUAGCGAAUCUCAUAAAGUGCGUCGUAGUCCGGAUCGGAGUCUGCAACUCGACUCCGUGAAGUCGGAAUCGCUAGUAAUCGUGGAUCAGAAUGCCACGGUGAAUACGUUCCCGGGCCUUGUACACACCGCCCGUCACACCAUGGGAGUGGGCUGCACCAGAAGUGGUUAGUUUAACCUUCGGGAGAACGAUCACCACGGUGUGGUUCAUGACUGGGGUGAAGUCGUAACAAGGUAACC
Molecule: ribosomal RNA, 1124 nt
Filed under: uncultured Idiomarina sp.
Lineage: Bacteria; Pseudomonadati; Pseudomonadota; Gammaproteobacteria; Alteromonadales; Idiomarinaceae
Description: bacterial SSU rRNA
Rfam family: Bacterial small subunit ribosomal RNA
Source: RNAcentral